This 563-nucleotide unclassified non-coding RNA is filed under the name Hevea brasiliensis (rubber tree). Lineage: Eukaryota; Viridiplantae; Streptophyta; Magnoliopsida; Malpighiales; Euphorbiaceae. The record is from RNAcentral.
CUCUCUCUCUCUCUCUCUCAGAGACUUCUUCCAUUACAAGUUUCCAUACCUAUUCCUUCCAUUUCCAUGUCUAAAGAGCACAUAACCCAGCAAACUCUACCAAAACUUGAAGAAUCUACAACACAAGGUCUCAAGCAAGACGAAGAUGGUGAGGCGGUUGCCGCUGAAGAAGUAUCAAAUGAUGAUCAAGAAGGGUGCAAGACACCAACUUCUAGUGAUCACAAGAUACCAACCUUCCGAAGCUGCCCGCCAACACCAAGAAAGAAAGUGCAAAAAUUGUUCAUGCAAAAGAGGAAGUUGCCUGAUGAGAUGAACUUCUUCGAAGCUUCGAGCAGAGAUGAGGUAGAGUCUUUCUUUCGAUCAAGCUUUGAGCUACCGGGCGUUGAAUCUCGUCGCUUUAAGAGAAGAUGUAGAAGUUACUGAUAAGAUUUUCUUUAAAUUCAUCAUCUCCUCAUAUGUGUAGAUAUGCAAUAUUAUUACAUAUUUAUUUUUCUUCCUUUUUUUUUUUAUAAGAUUUACUUCUUAUGUAUGGAUUAAUUAUGAUAAAUCUAGCUAGCUAACCC